This 254-nucleotide ribosomal RNA is filed under the name uncultured bacterium. RNAcentral describes it as "partial 16S ribosomal RNA". It matches the Rfam family "Bacterial small subunit ribosomal RNA", at positions 524 to 776 of the family's 1533-position model. The record is from RNAcentral.
UACGGAGGAUCCAAGCGUUAUCCGGAAUCAUUGGGUUUAAAGGGUCCGUAGGCGGUUUGGUAAGUCAGUGGUGAAAGCCCAUCGCUCAACGGUGGAACGGCCAUUGAUACUGCCAGACUUGAAUUAUUAGGAAGUAACUAGAAUAUGUAGUGUAGCGGUGAAAUGCUUAGAGAUUACAUGGAAUACCAAUUGCCGAAGGCAGGUUACUACUAAUGGAUUGACGCUGAUGGACGAAAGCGUGGGUAGCGAACAGG